This 776-nucleotide ribosomal RNA is filed under the name uncultured Janibacter sp. Its description in RNAcentral is "bacterial SSU rRNA". It matches the Rfam family "Bacterial small subunit ribosomal RNA", at positions 8 to 795 of the family's 1533-position model. The record is from RNAcentral. Lineage: Bacteria; Bacillati; Actinomycetota; Actinomycetes; Micrococcales; Intrasporangiaceae.
AGAGUUUGAUCCUGGCUCAGGACGAACGCUGGCGGCGUGCUUAACACAUGCAAGUCGAACGGUGAAGCUCCAGCUUGCUGGAGUGGAUCAGUGGCGAACGGGUGAGUAACACGUGAGCAACCUGCCCCAAACUCUGGAAUAAGCGCUGGAAACGGCGUCUAAUACUGGAUACGAGACGGAACCGCAUGGUUACCGUUUGGAAAGUUUUUCGGUUUGGGAUGGGCUCGCGGCCUAUCAGCUUGUUGGUGAGGUAAUGGCUCACCAAGGCGACGACGGGUAGCCGGCCUGAGAGGGCGACCGGCCACACUGGGACUGAGACACGGCCCAGACUCCUACGGGAGGCAGCAGUGGGGAAUAUUGCACAAUGGGCGAAAGCCUGAUGCAGCGACGCCGCGUGAGGGAUGACGGCCUUCGGGUUGUAAACCUCUUUCAGCAGGGAAGAAGCGAAAGUGACGGUACCUGCAGAAGAAGCACCGGCUAACUACGUGCCAGCAGCCGCGGUAAUACGUAGGGUGCGAGCGUUGUCCGGAAUUAUUGGGCGUAAAGAGCUUGUAGGCGGUUUGUCGCGUCUGCUGUGAAAAUCCGGGGCUCAACCCCGGACUUGCAGUGGGUACGGGCAGACUAGUGUGUGGUAGGGGAGACUGGAAUUCCUGGUGUAGCGGUGAAAUGCGCAGAUAUCAGGAGGAACACCGAUGGCGAAGGCAGGUCUCUGGGCCACUACUGACGCUGAGAAGCGAAAGCAUGGGGAGCGAACAGGAUUAGAUACCCUGGUAGUC